CCGGUCGUAUGCCAAACCAUUCGCGAGGAUGGGACGGAAAGCCAAGGAUCUCUUAAAAAGAAUGAGACGGCCAGGUUGCAAGA
This 83-nucleotide non-coding RNA is filed under the name Marinobacter sp. LV10R510-11A. RNAcentral describes it as "GEMM cis-regulatory element". It matches the Rfam family "c-di-GMP-I riboswitch aptamer". Rfam says of the family: GEMM was predicted in a large-scale screen for bacterial structured RNA regulatory elements. The record is from RNAcentral. Lineage: Bacteria; Pseudomonadati; Pseudomonadota; Gammaproteobacteria; Pseudomonadales; Marinobacteraceae.